CUCAUGUAAAAGGGAAUUCUGCCACAGAAGUAUGCAAAGAUGAGCAUAAACUGCAGAAAUGUGCUCUGAAGGUCAUCUUAAUUUGGCAACAAAUGAAUGUUGUGUAGAGAUUGAAGUAAAGUUAGAGGGACAGAUACCUGGUGAGAGACCUCAGGCUGUGUCUGUGCAGUGAGUAUGAGUCACACAAGCUGUGUUUCCUCUGCUGUGGAGCCCCAGUAUACAAAAGCAGAGUCUUGGUGUUUAAUACAGAUUCCUCUCACAUGGAUGUAAUUCACAAGUGCGAGAAUCCAAUUCUCGAAUGCUCGAAUACUUUAUUUUGUCUUUGUGCACCCCUCUCUCACCCAGGGGUAUCAGAAGAUAUCCAGUGAAGUUCACUAUGACACAAAGC
RNAcentral lists this long non-coding RNA (388 nucleotides) under Coturnix japonica (Japanese quail). Its description in RNAcentral is "lncRNA (ENSCJPG00005008741.1)". The record is from RNAcentral. Lineage: Eukaryota; Metazoa; Chordata; Aves; Galliformes; Phasianidae.